UCCAAGUUACAGAUCAACACCGG
Molecule: non-coding RNA, 23 nt
Filed under: Arabidopsis thaliana (thale cress)
Lineage: Eukaryota; Viridiplantae; Streptophyta; Magnoliopsida; Brassicales; Brassicaceae
Source: RNAcentral